This 336-nucleotide long non-coding RNA is filed under the name Brassica napus (rape). RNAcentral describes it as "long non-coding RNA (BNAP_LNC026859)". Lineage: Eukaryota; Viridiplantae; Streptophyta; Magnoliopsida; Brassicales; Brassicaceae. The record is from RNAcentral.
CGACACAUAGAAAACUGAAUUUCUUAAAUAAUAUAACAUAUAUAUACAAUACGUUCUUGCAAUACGCCGUUGACGAGCUUGACCUGAGAUGUAGUUAGUGGAGGGUUGGAGAACUUGAACGGAGAUGCAGCGGCGGACAGUUAGGGUGAACCAGUUGAGGAGGGUCAAUAGCUUAUCAACUGUAUCUGGAAGGAAUCGAAGAGAUCUAACUCCGUGUGUGCUGAUGAUGAUGUUAGAAUUGUGAAAGUAUGAAAAGAAUAUAAGAGAAUGGUUGAGUUUGGAAGAGAUUGUGUGAAGAACAACAGAGAGGAGCACAUGAUUUUGAUGAGAGAGAGA